This is a long non-coding RNA of Homo sapiens (human), 729 nucleotides long. Ensembl annotates it as long intergenic non-protein coding RNA 2665. The record is from Ensembl. Lineage: Eukaryota; Metazoa; Chordata; Mammalia; Primates; Hominidae.
GAGUUCACAGGAGGCUCUUCCCACGUAUUGACUACCUUUCUCCAGUGCUGUACCACGUACGGAUGGACAAUAAAAAUGCCACUAACCUCUCCUCUAUAUUUUUUCCAGGGAUAAUUCUGAUACAAAAAAAAAAAAAGCAUUGUUGGUAGCAUGCAUUGGGUGUUCAAUAAAUGUCACCAGUCAGGAAUAAAUGUCACCAGUCAAGAAUAAUCAUGAAGGAAAGACAGGAAAGUGGGUGCCUUGAGGAGGCUCUGGAAAAGAGAUAAGUGGGGCUAAUAGCACUGGCCCAGAGGCCAUGUAGUGGAGAACUUCCAAUCUCCCAGCACACCACCUGGGGGACGGUGCAUCCUCCUGGAAAGUGAACCACACACACAGCUCCACUGGAAACAGGAGACUUCCGCCAAACAUGAGACAAGGGGCCUGGAAUAUUUCAGUUGUGUCCUAUUAGGUGCUCCGCUAACAUUCUGCUUUCUCUUCUGAGCCGUCAAUACGCUGCCCCAGCACGGGUGGAAGAUGCCCCCUACACAUUUCAAGCCGACUAAUCACAGGGGAAGAAACACGGCUUGUUUUAACCGCUUUCUACGGGCUUCUUAUGCCUUCAGUCUGCGCGUUCCUGCAGAGUCACCUCUGAAGGGGGAACCAGAUUAUCCAAAGCUUCUGGCUCUCAUACCAGGUGGGCUUAUGUAAACUGUCUCAGGGUCCUCAUUCGUAAAUAAAGGACUUAAACUA